This 211-nucleotide ribosomal RNA is filed under the name Enterococcus faecalis. RNAcentral's name for it is "partial 23S ribosomal RNA". It matches the Rfam family "Bacterial large subunit ribosomal RNA", at positions 331 to 542 of the family's 2925-position model. The record is from RNAcentral. Lineage: Bacteria; Bacillati; Bacillota; Bacilli; Lactobacillales; Enterococcaceae.
AGUUGAAGGAUUUGGAAAAUUCCGCUAAAGAGGGUGAAAGCCCCGUAGACGAAAUGCUGACAACACCUAGGAGGAUCCUGAGUACGGCGGAACACGAGAAAUUCCGUCGGAAUCCGCGGGGACCAUCCCGCAAGGCUAAAUACUCCCUAGUGACCGAUAGUGAACCAGUACCGUGAGGGAAAGGUGAAAAGCACCCCGGAAGGGGAGUGAA